This 265-nucleotide ribosomal RNA is filed under the name uncultured bacterium. RNAcentral's name for it is "partial 16S ribosomal RNA". It matches the Rfam family "Bacterial small subunit ribosomal RNA", at positions 73 to 339 of the family's 1533-position model. The record is from RNAcentral.
ACGAUCUUCGGAUUGGUGGCGACCGGCGCACGGGUGCGAACGCGUAUAGAACCUACCUUUUACAGAGGGAUAGCCCAGAGAAAUUUGGAUUAAUACCUCAUAGUAUUAUAGAUUGGCAUCGAUUUAUAAUUAAACAUUUAUGGGUAAGAGAUGGCUAUGCGUCCUAUUAGUUAGUUGGUAAGGUAACGGCUUACCAAGACAGCGAUAGGUAGGGGUCCUGAGAGGGAGACCCCCCACACUGGUACUGAGACACGGUCCAGACUCC